Molecule: long non-coding RNA, 153 nt
Organism: Sander lucioperca (pikeperch)
Lineage: Eukaryota; Metazoa; Chordata; Actinopteri; Perciformes; Percidae
Exons: 3
Source: RefSeq, a predicted model, not a curated record
AUGAGACAACGUCUUCAGCACCUUGCAGCAGUUCCAGUGUGGCUGCUUUCUCCGUGUGGUAUGUGUAUGGUGAAACUACCGUCUCCCUCGACAGCAACGAGACAGGUCAACCGUAGUACGUCUUUAAGACCCAAGUCCUCUACGAUGCUGACA